Molecule: long non-coding RNA, 12417 nt
Organism: Triticum dicoccoides
Lineage: Eukaryota; Viridiplantae; Streptophyta; Magnoliopsida; Poales; Poaceae
Exons: 4
Source: RefSeq, a predicted model, not a curated record
CUGCCGCGACCUCGACGCUACUCCCGCGACCACAACCACUGCGUCCGCUAGAAAGGCGCAUGAAUUGGGGAUAUGUACUUCGGUUUGGGUUUAAAGGGGCAAUCUUUGAGCAUUUGUAUCAACUAUUGAGGAUCUCAAGUUGACAUGGAUCGCCCUAUGAUCAAGUGCAUUAUGGUGCUAUGAUGAUUGUGACAGAAGAUGUUAGCUGCAGAAGCAAUCGCUAUGUCUCAGCUCCAAUAUUAAAAAUCAGUGCACCUGAAUUAGGACACAAUUUUUCUCAUCUGGAACUGCGCUUUAAGGUGUUUGGUCUGAAUGCUACGCUCCUGAAUACAAUGUGAUAUAAAAGGUUCAUGAAAUCACCAGGUAUGGAAAUGCUUGACCAUUUUUGUAAAUUACUUAGUACAAUAUUAUCUGUUUGUUUUCUGCAUUAUUUCCCAGUUCUCUUGCAGUACUAUUCAACAACCUAUCUUCCUGCCUACUAGAUAAAAGAGGGUUUUUGUUUACUUAACAUGGUUGCCUGAUUAACAUAGUCAUGGUUUCUGUUAAUUAUUUUUUCCACUACCGAAGCAACAAUUAUCUUCCUACCUACCAGAUAUACUACUACUUGAUUGCUUAGUUACCGGCUUAAGAAGCUCCACGAUUCUUUUAUAUGAUAUUAAAAAAAAUUGAGUUCUAACUUUGUGGAAAGACACGCUAGGUUCUGAUGUUUUGGGGCCAAUGUUCAUUUCUAGAGGCAAAUACUCAGAUUUCUUAGUGAACUAUAAUCCCAUCUAGAUAACCCCCCUCGAUAUAGCUCCCUUUAUUUGCACGACACAAUCUAGCAUAUGACGGUUCUGAUUUGGAUUGUGAGUGUUUCUCCAAAAACUAGGAUUAUAUACCUGAGAACAAACAAAUAACGUUAUAAACUUACCUCGAAGCCUAUGGGUUGACUGAAGCUUGAUAAAUAGUUUCAGAUGCACUAUGGUCUCGUAACAGUAGAAAUAAGCUUUGAGGGAAAGAGAACCAAGUAUAGGUGACUGCAUAGUAGAAGAUGUGUAAUCGUGUUGCACUAUAGUGUCUUUAUAGAAGCCGACAAAAUCAGAGACAUCCUAAAUUUUGUUUUUUGUUCUUGUCAGUUAAGAAAAGAAACAUUAACUCUUGGAUUAUCAGUAAGGGAAUAUGCCUUAUUAGCACACUCUUAUGGUGGUUAUUAUGAGCCUUCACAAAGGCAAUGUACUUAGAGUCAUCGCAGUGAUGAUCGACAUAUAGAAGGAGAGUUUGACCACGAGUUGAAAGGUGGACAAGAAGUGUAGGAUCAUGAGAACUCGCCGAAAACUUGCCGCAAUCACCACUGAGACAAAAUGCUCAAACUAGGCACGAGGGGUUUGCUUAAGGCCAUAAAAGAGCGAUGAAGAUGACAAACCAUGCCAUCAGGAGGAGAAUACCCAGGUGGUGGGUAUAUGUAGACCUCAUGCAACAAGGAGGAAGAGAAAUGGUAUCCCACAUGCCUAUGCGCGCUAGAGCAACAAUCUCGUCUACAAUCGCAUGCUGCUAUUCAUGGUGAACAAAUGCGUCAUACUAAGAAGUCGUCUCGAGAAAAGCGACACUAGAAUAACCAAUAACCAUAGGGCCAAUAGGCAGAAGCGAGAGAGCUCAGAAGCCAUAAGUAGGCCGAGCUUUAGGUGGCGCGUUGCCAACGGGAAAGACCAUAGUAGUCGAGGGAGAUGGCUCAUUAGAAGGAUCCACAACACGUGGACCACAAGUGUAGUGAAGAAGAUGAUAAGGGGGAAUCAUCGGGGAAACCUCAUGGAUGAGCGAGGUGAGGUAGCCUCAGGUAAUGAACGAGGCGGGGAAGCCGCAUGUGGCGGUGGGUGGGGUCUAUAACAGUAGUCGAGGGAGAUGGCUCAUUAGAAGGAUCCACAACACGUGGACCACAAGUGUAGUGAAGAAGAUGAUAAGGGGGCAUCAUCGGGGAAACCUCAUGGAUGAGCGAGGUGAGGUAGCCUCAGGUAAUGAACGAGGUGGGGAAGCCGCAUGUGGCGAUGUGUGGGGUCUAUAACAGUAGUACGGGAGGAUAAGCUGGGAUAGGUGGGCGAGGGCAAUAAAUGAGUGAUAAGUGUAUCAGGAAAAUUGAGGGAAGAAAUAUCGUCAAUGGGGGAGGCCGAAGGAGAGGAUGGACUCGGGUAGAAAGGACGAGACUCAAUCAGAAGUGACAUAUCAAGAAAUACCCAUCCGACGACUAACAAGAUCCCAACACCGAUAGCCCUUGUGCUUAUCGCUGUAAUUUAAGAAGACAUAUUCAACAGAUUGAUCAAAUAGUUUGGUGCGUGAAGAAUGUAGCAAACACAACCAAACAAAUGAAGUGUUGAGUAGUUAGGAGAGAAUGCUCACAAAGACACUCGAGAGGAAUGUUGCCCUGUAGAGCCGAGGAAGGAUGAAUGUUGAUGAGAUAGGUGGCUACGGUCAUCAACGCGCUAGCCGCCUCACGAAGGUGACGAUGCUUGCGCUCAACAACCCCAUUCUAAGCAUGAGCACCAGGACAAGAGAGCAAGUGUGCUUUGCUCAACAAGGAAUCUACGCAACAAAUGAGAGAGAUACACAUAAGCAGAAUCUGCACGAAAGACAUGGAUAGUAGUGGAAAACUGGGUAUGAACCAAGGUGGCAAACCUUUUAUAGAUAGAUAAGACCUCACUACAAGAAGGCAUAAAAUAUAUCGACUUGUGUCGAGAGAAAUAAUGGUAAAGGUAAUAUAGUGGCGAUGGCCUCCUUUCGAGGCGAAGAGAGUUGGGUCCCAAACAUUAGAGUGAACAAGAUUGAAUGAGGAUACGGUAACUGAACGUGUUUACCUAGCAGACAAACUUGACAUUUAAAGUUACAUUGCGAGACAGAUCCUAGAAUACCACAUCGUUCUAAGGAUGAGAGACUAGAGCCACACAUGUGACUGAGAUGACGACGCCACAGAGUCAGUAGACAAGGUAAGAGAGUCGAAGAGAUUGGCGGAUGUGGUAGCAGAGGGAAGGCGUAGCCUGGCAAGAUUCAGUGGCCGUGCGAGUCACAACGUCGAGGGUCAACACCAAGUAGAUCACCCGUGUGCAAAUCCUAAAUUAGAAUAAGAGCCAAAGUCAAGAAUAUUGGAGUAAUAGAAAUAUUGUUUGUGUUAGGUUCAAUGAUACAUUUGCUUGGAACCCCGGACGGAGUUAAACUUGAGAUUGGGCACUUGGAUUUGUGAUAUUUUGAUAUGAGCUUGAAACUGGAGAAUUUUAGGGUGUAGCAUGAUGAACCUGAGAUAUAUUGAAUUUAUAUAGGUAUAGUAUGAUUAGCAUGAAUGCAGUAUUUGUGGACUAUUGGAUCAUCUUGGAUAUUACUAGUUGGAUUCUAGGUUAAAGAUAACUUGAGCAGUUGGAUUUGUGAUAUUUUGACCUAAGUUUGGUAGCUUGUAUGGCUAUGAGCAUGCAGAUGAUACGAUCGUAGUUGGUAGACCGUGAUGAUUUUGCUAACCCUCCCCAAGAAUGUUACAAGUACAAGAUCAUCAUGGGAGGAUGAUUUGGAUUAAUUAGAAUAGAUGACAAUUUCAGUGGUAUGAGCCUUGUUGGAGCAGCUGAUGUUGCUUUUAUUAUGUUUUUGUGCUCCUUUAGAUGCAGAAGUAGGAGGGUAGGACUUAUGAAGUGAUACUAUAUUGGUGGAUAAAUAGAUCUUUAAUAACAUUGAAACUGGAGAACUUUAGGGUAGGACUUAUGAAGUUUGGAUUUACUUACAUGAUAGUGAUCUUAGAAAAAAAUCUGGUGGAUAAAUAACUUUUAAUAUUUUGGAUCUAUAGUCAUCUAGUGGAAAGCUUGCUUCAUACUGGACUUAGAUAACCAUGAUAAUGGGCUUCGUUGAAUCAUAGUUAUGAUUUAUACUAGAUGCACACUUUUAGAGAUUUAAACUAGAAAACUUUAGGGUGUAGUAUAAUCAAUUAGAGAUAUAUUGGAUUUAAUAUGAAUAUAAUAUGAUCAACAUGAUUCUGAGAAUUGAUGGAAGAAAGCAAAGAUAUUGGAGUAAUAGAAAUGUUGUUUGUGUUAGGUUCAAUGAUAUAUCUGCUUGGAUUCUAGUUCUAGGUCGGAGUUAAACUUGAGAUUGGGCACUUGGAUUUGUGAUAUUUUGACACGAGCUUUAGAACUGGAGAACUUUAGAACUGGAGAACUUUAGGGUGUAGCUUGAUCAUCCUGAGAUGUAUUGAAUUUAUAUAGGUAUAGUAUGAUUAGCAUGAAUGCAGUAUUGGUGGACUAUUGUAUGAUCUUGGAUAUUACUAGUUGGAUUCUAGGUUGGAGAUAACAUGAGCAUCUGGAUUUGUGAUAUUUUGACCUAAGCUUAGUAGCUUGUAUGCGCCCCAUAUGGAUAUGAGCAUGGAGAGGAUACAAACGGAUUGUAGUUUGUAGACUUUGAUGAUUUGAUAGCCCUCCCCAAGAAUGUUACAAGUACAAGAUCAUCAUGGGAGGAUGAUUUGGAUUAAUUAGAAUAGAUGAUAAUUUUAGUCGUAUGAGCCUUGUUGGAGCAGCUGACCUUGCUUUUAUUAUGUGUUUGUGCUCCUUUAGAUGCAGUAGGGAAGGAGGCUAGUAGUUAUGAUGUGAUAUUAUAUUGAUGGAUAAAUACAUCUUUUAACAAUGUUGGAACAGUUUGGAUUUACUUAGAUGAUUGUGAUCUUGAAAACAAAUCUGGUGGGUAAAUAACUUCUAGUAUUUGGAUCUAUAGUAAUCCAGUGGAGGCUGAGGUAGUUGGAGAGGGCCGAUGAGAAAGCACAUGAGAAGCUUUACUCGAUCUCCUGAAGACCGACAUUGGCGCAAAGGCCGAUGCGGCUGACAGGGUUUUCACCCUCUCGCACACCUCCCGUGCAUUGUUCAUUUCCUGCCAAUUCGGCUUGGUAUCCUUUCCUUGUUUGCGGGUUCUGGGCCACUGGCUUGAUCUGGCAUCACACGUUUUCCUGCCGUGUGUCCUUGGCCUUGGCGGUAGGUAACGUCGUGCGCUCGGGCUGUGUCUCGUGGGUUAGCCAUUGCGGUGCCAACUGCCUGUGUGGCUAUGGCGGCGCCCAGUAAGGAAACAUGAGAUGUGGGAUUGAGGCAUCGCACAUAGCAACCCGAAGCCAGGCAAAGGAUGCCGGUCGGACUGGCAGGAAGUGGAUUGCACAUGAGGUAUGGUGGAAGGGAUGAAAACGUUGGUGGGAGCGGAUUGUCAUUGUCGUUAUUCAUUGUACUUGGAGCCAAGCAUUGAGGGGAUGGUGAUUGGGGAUGUGGGAAGAUGGUUGGAUCAUAGUUAUGAUUACUACCUUUAGAGAUUGAAACUGGAGAACAUUAGGGUGUAGUAUGAUCAAUCGGAGAUAUAUUGGACUUAUAUGAGUGUAAUAUGAUCAGCAUAAUUGUGAAAAUUGAUUAACUAUUACAUCAUCUUGGAUUGAUAUAGUAGGAAGAAAACAAAGAUAUUGGAGUAAUAGAAAUGUUGUUUGUGUUGGGCUCAAUGAUAUUUCUGCAUGGAUUUUAGGUUGGAGUUAAACUUGAAAAUGGACACUUGGAUUGUGAUAUUUUGACAUGAGCUUGAAACUGGAGAACUUUAGGGUGUAGCAUCAUCAACCUGAGAUGUAUUGGAUUUAUAUAGGUAUAGUAAUCAUCAGCAUGAAUGUGGUAUUGGUGGACUAUUGGAUAGACUUGGAUAUUACUAGUUGGAUUCUAGGUUGGAUUUGUGAUAUUUUGACCUAAGCUUAGUAACUUGUAUGUGCCCCAUAUGGAUAUGAGCAUGGAGAUGAUACAAAUGGAUCGUAGUUGGUAGACUCUAAUGAUUUUGCUAGCCCUCCCAAAUAAUGUUACGAGUACAAGAUCUUGGGAGGAUGAUUUGGAUUAGUUAGAAUAAAUGACAAUUUCAGUGGUAUGAGCCUUGUUGGCGCAACUGAUCUUACUUUUAUUAUGUGUUUGUGCUCCUUUAGAUGCAGUAUGAGGAGGGUAGUACUUAUGAAAUGAUAUUAUAUUGGUGGAUAAAAGCCCGAUGCGGCUGACAGGGUUUUCACCCUCUCCCACACCUCAUGUGCAUUGUUCAUUCCCGCUGAUUCGGCUGGGUGUCCUUCCCUUGUUUGCGAGUUCCGUGUCAAUGACUUGAUCCGGCAUCACACGUUCUCCCGCCGUGCGUCCUUAGCCUUGGCGGUAGGUAACGUCGUGCUCUCGGGCUGUGUCUCGUGGGUUAGCCAUUGCGGUGCCGACUGCCUGUGUUGCUAUGGCGGCGCCCAGCAGGGAAACACGAGAUAUGGGAUUGAGGCAUCGCACAUAGUAACCCAAAGCGAGGCAAAGGAUGUCGGUCGAACUGGCAGGGAGUGGAUUGCACCUGAGGUAUGGUGGAAGGGCUGAAAAUGUUGGUGGGAGCGAACUGUCAUUGCCGUUAUUCAUUAUACUUGGAGCCAAGCGUCGAGGGGAUGAUGAUUGGGGAAGGUGGGAAGAUGGUUGGAUCAUAGUUAUGAUUACUACUAGAUUCACACCGUUUGAGAUUGAAACUGGAGAACUUUAGUGUGUAGUAUGAUCAAUCGGAGAUAUAUUGGAUUUAUAUGUGUAAUAUGAUCUGCAUGAUUGUGAAAAUUGAUGGACUACUACAUUAUCUUGGAUUGAACUAGUAGGAAGAAAACAAAGAUAUUGGAGUAAUAGCAAUGUUGUUUGUGUUAGAUUCAAAUGUUUAAUGAUAUAUGUGCUUGGAUUCUAGGUCGGAAUUAAAUUUGAGAUAAGGCACUUGGAUUUGUGAUAUUUUGAAAGCUUGAAACUGGAGAACUUUAGGGUGUAGCAUGGUCAACCUGAGAUGUAUUGGAUUUAUAUAGGUAUAGUAUGAUUAGCAUGAAUGCGGUAUUGGUGGACUAUUGGAUGAUCUUGGAUAUUACUAGUUGGAUUCUAGGUUGGAGAUGACUUGAGCACUUGGAUUUGUGAUAUUUUGGCCUAAGCUUAGUAGCUUGUAUGUGCUCCAUAUGGAUAUGAGCAUGGAGAUGAAACAAUUGGAUCGUAGUUGGUAGACUUUGAUGAUUUCGCUAGCCCUCCCCAAGAAUGUUACAAGUACAAGAUUAUCAUGGGACGAUGAUUUGGAUUAAUUAGAAUAGAUGACAAUUUCAGUGGUAUGAGCCUUGUUGGAGCACCUGAUCUUGCUUUUCUUAUGUGUUUGUGCUCCUUUAGAUGCAGUAGUGGGAGGAGAGUAGUACUUAUGAAGUGAUAUUAUAUUGGUGGAUAAAUAGAUCUUUAAUAACCUUGGAACAAUUUGGAUUUACUUAGUUGAUUGUGAUCUUGAAAAAAAAUCAGAUGGAUAAGUAAAUUCUAAUUUUUCAAUCUAUAGUGAUCUAGUGAAAGCUUGCUUUAUACUGGAUCAUAACCAUGAUAGUGGGCUUGUUUGGAUCGUAGUUAUGAUUUGUACUAGAUGCACACCUUUAGAGAUUGAAACUGGAGAACUUUAGGGUCUAGAAUGAUCAAUCAAACAUAUAUUGGAUUUAUAUGUGUAAAUAUGAUCGGUAGGAUUGUGAAAAUUGAUGGACUAUUACAUCAUGUUGGAUUGAAUUAGUAGGUAGAAAACAAAGAUAUUGGUGUAAUAGAAAUGUUUGUGCAAGGUUCAGUGAUAUAUUUGCUUGGAUUCUAGGUCGGAGUUAAACUUGAGAUUGGGCACUUGGAUGAUGUUUUCACAUGAGCUUGAAGCUAGAGAAGUUUAGGGUGUAGCAUGAUCAACUUGAGAUGUAUUGAAUUUAUAUAGGUAUGGUAUGAUUAGCAUGAAUGCGCUAUUGGUGGACUAUUGGAUCAUCUUUGAUAUUACUAGUUGGAUUCUAGGUUAGAGAUAACUUUUGAUUCUAGGUAAUAGUUAUGACGUGAUACUAUAUUAGUGGAUAAAUACAUCUUUGAUAACUUUGGAACAACUUGGAUUAACUUAGAUGAUUGUGAUCUUCAAAAAAAAUCUGGUGGAUAAAUAACUUAUAAUAUUUGGAUCUAUAGUAAUGAGGGCAGGCCUGGCGCAGUGGUGAAGUCCUCCCCACUUGUGCCAAGAGGUCCUGGGUUCGAACCAGCCUCUCUGCAUUGCACUUUGCAGGGGUAAGACUAGGUUCCUAUAAUCCCUCCCCAGACCCCACCUUGUGUGGGAGCUUCUAUGCACUGGGUCUGUCCUUUCCUUUUAUUUGGAUCUAUAGUAAUCUUGUGGAGGCUGAGGGAGUUGCAGAGGAGCGAUGAGAAAGCACAUGAGAAGCUUUACUCGAUCUCCUGAAGAUCGACAUUGCCGCCGUGCAAAUCCCUAUGGGGCUGACAGGGUUUUCACCCUCUCCCACACCUCAUGUGCACAUUCCUGCCGAUUCGGCUUGGUGUCCUUCCCUUGUUUGCGAGUUCUGUGCCAAUGACUUGAUCUGGCAUCACACGUUCUCCCGCCGUGCGUCCUUGGCCUUGGCGGUAGGUAACGUCGUGCUCUCGGGCUGUGUCUCGUGGGUUAGCCAUUGCGGUGCCGACUGCCUGUGUGGCUAUGGCGGCGCCCAGCAGGGAAACACGAGAUGUGGGAUUGAGGCACCGGACAUAGUAACCCGAAGCCAGGAAAGGAUGCCGGUCGGGCUGGCAGGGAGCGGAUUGCACAUGAGGUAUGGCGGAAGGGAUGAAAACAUUGUUGGGAGCGGAUUGUCCUUGGAGCCAAGCGUCGAGGGGAUGGCGAUUGGGUAAGGCGGGAAGAUGGUUGGAUCAUAGUUAUAUUACUACUAGAUGAUUGGAUAGCCUAUAUGUGUCCCAUAUGGACAUAGCAUGAAGUUGAUACAAACGGAUUGUAGUUGGUUGACUUGAUGAUUUUGCUAGCCCUAUCCAAGAAUAUUACGAGUACAAGAUCAUGGGAGGAUGAUUUGGAUUAAUCAGAAUAGAUGACAAUUUCAGUGGUAUGAGCCUCGUUGGAGAAGCUGACCUUGCUUCUAUUAUGUGUUUGUGCUCCUUUAGAUACUGUAGUAGGAGGGUAUCACUUAUGAAGUGAUUUUAUAUUGGUGAAUAAAUAGAUUUUUAGUAACCUUGGAACAAUUUGGAUUUACUUGUGAUUGUGACACAGCGGUGGAUAAAUGACUUCUAAUUUUUGGAUCUAUAGUAAUCCAAUGGAAACUUGUUUUGACUUAGAUAACAAUGAUAGUGGGCUUGGUUGGAUCAUCGAACAUAUAAAGGAUGAGCGGGGUGCUAGGCACAACCGCUGUGUCCACGUAGGCUAUGAAUAGUGCCGGCGAAGUGAGCGUUGCGUCCCGCGCGAGUAGAGAAGCGAGAGACCUAACCCGUCUCCCCCGCAACCCCUGCCUCCUCUCCCGCCGCCGCCGCCGCCGCACCCCCUUCUCCCCUUCUCCAUGCUCGCCGCUGCCGGCACCGCGUCCGCCGCUCCCCCGCCUCGAGCCAAACACCGCCAUGGAGCCUCCGCUCCCUUGCCUCGAGCCACCCCGUGCCUCGUUUGCCUCCUCUCCCCCCUCUCCCUCGUCUCCUCUCCCGCCCCGCCAGCCCCUUCUCUCCUUCCCCGCGCAAGCCAGCCCUGGAUCUGGAGGAAGAGGAGAGAUGCGGGUUCUGGAGGAGGAAGAGGAGAUCUGGGCCUCGCGGCGGUGGCUCGACCGAUGCAAGGUGAUGACAAGUUGCCUCCUCUUGCACGCCCUCUCCCUCGCCGCCGCCACGGCCUCUCCCACCGCUCAUCUCCACCUCCUCCCACUUUCCCUGUUGCUCACAUCCCUCUCAGUCCAUGGCUUCCGGCGCAUCCCCUCGCGGCGGCCACCACUCCUUGUCUCCUCCCAGGUUCUCGAUCUGGAGGGCGGGCCGCCAAGAAAGCCGGCUCCGUCUUGCUCUCGCACCACUGUCCAUCCACCCGAGAAGCCCGUCCACACACCUGUCAUUCACGCCCCUCCUCCUCGGCUCGUUCUCAUCUCUGUCAGGCAGAUGAGCUCCUGCUUCCUCUCUGUCUCCCUUUGAUUUUGUGCUUGUGCUGUACUGUGUGUUUGUGCAGUUGCUUUGUGAGCUACAGCUACUACUUGUGCUGCUAGAUGUGUGUGCUGGUUCUGGUGCUGCUAGCUGCUGCUGGUUGCUUGUGUUGCUGGUAUGUGUUACACUGCUACUACCUGUUGCUGGUUGCUUCUUUAUUUGGUUAAUUGUGACACUGAAAAGCCUUUUGUGAAAAGCAAAAAUUAUUGAGAAGGCUAUGAGCUGAUGAGAUGACCUUCAUUUUCAAUUUCUUAUUUAAUAAUUGAUGAAGGAUAUGUCAUAUAUUCAGUUGCUAACAUUUUCUCUGUGGUGUAUGUACCUAUUGUUCAUUGCAUUCGAGGGAGAGGAAAACAAGAGUAAGAGAGCCUUGGGACACGACGGCAGUAGCACGCAGCGCCAGGUCAAGCGCACCGACCUCGACGACAAGAGACCAACCAGUACACUUAACAAGAGUAAGAGAGCCUUGGGACAACACUGGAUGAGGGCAGGAUUUUAUUUCCCCAUCGUGUCUGAUGAUGUGUUCAUGAGCUAAUUUGUUCUUAUAGUGGUUCCAAUUUUAUUUCUAUCUCGCAGGAUUUUGUUGCAACGACACAGUGCUGACAAUUUUUCUUUUUGGAAUUUGUCAAUGAAAUUCUGCUCGAUCAUGUAACCUUUUGUUUGGAUUGUCGGCCGCCUUGUCUAUAUUUGUAGAUACUGAUUUUGUUGUUUGCUUAAUGGCUCAUUAUUUCACAGGAUGUUGGGGCUCGGGCAAGGGAGGCUGCGCUCAGUGCAGUACUGCGGUCUUUUACUGCCCUUCACUGUUAAUUAAAUAUAUAUUAUCUUCAUAGCUCAUACAGUUUUAGGCUUUUAGCAGUAUGAAAAGUCACAGAUAAUGUGAUGGCGACAUUUGGGCUUAUACAAGUGUUAGUUGUCAGUCUCUGCCCGCAUGCAUUUGAACUUGCCUUGGCCACGAUCCUUAAGCUUGUCAAAAGUUGUGGAUCGAUAGGCAUUGACAAAAAAAUAUAAGCUCUAUGUUCUGAAAUACAGGUAGAGCAGCUGCUAUAGCACCCCUAGGGAGAUUGCAUUGAUUGAUUCUCAUCGUAUAUAUAACUCAACUAUUUAAAGUAUUCUAUAUACACUGAAAUCGUGCUCAUAAUUUUUUAAAGUAUUCUAUAUGCACUGAAAUCGAGCUCAUAAUUUUUUUUAUCAUGUACCUUUUCUGCUAAAGAUCAUUACACUUCUCUUCAAUACAUCAAUGUUACUUCCAAAGCAGAGUCCCUCCUAGAGGACAGUUUCUUUUAUCAGAAGGGUGAGUGUGUUGUAUAUUUUUCUGUCCACUAAAUCAACUACUUCUGGUUACAUAUUGUGACAGAAUUAAGUAGGCAUAUGCUUAUUCGUUGAUUCUUAUACCGAAACUGAAUUGGUAUUGUGUUAAUACAUUAUAGUCAUCCUUGAAGGACAUGUGUUUUAUUGCCAUGCAUGCUUAAUGAUUGCUUGCUGAAGCAUUGGUCCUAAUUUACCACGGGUUUGGCGUUGCGUUUUCUUUUUGUAUAUGGUUGCUGCAGUGGCCAUUGAAUAAUGAUUCUAUCCAUUAGUAGUAUCUUGUCAUUAUGAAAGUUUGUGUAUUUUUUGUACAUAUGAAGGUUUGUGUAUUUUGUUCUCAGCUGCGUUGCUACAUAUAAAUUUGAGGCAAAUGAUGAUACGGUUCAGACUCACACUUUUCUGAUUUUAUCUUGUCAUUAUGAAGGUUUGUGUAUUUGUUUUUGUUCUGCAUAUAAAUUUGAGAAUGAUUUUAUGGUUCAAAGAGACAGUUUAAUCAUAUUUGAGCUGCCAGCUUGCUUCAGCCAUGUGAUAUCGGAGCCCGAGGUUGACAGUGGCCAAAUGACUGAACUUGUUCGCAACAUUAAUAGUAGUACUCUUGAUAAACAUAGCAUUCCUGACCUUUUUGUACCGUUCGCCUGUUUGCAUGUUUAUAACAGGGGAAUUAGUCCAAGUGUUAUUGGUUCACUUGCUACAGGUGGAAUAUAUCUUUGGUGUUAUUGAAUCUUUAACCAAGACAUGGCUGGAGGCUGGAGCACGCUAAUCCUGAUCGAAUAGGUCAUCUCACUUUAUAGGUGGAGUAAUUGAGAUGAUGUUCAGUAGACUCCCUCAUCAUCUUGCCAGUGCUAUUGAUCGCUCACAGCUUGAAUCUGAAUGUGCUUCUUCCAGUGUAUGCUCCCUCUCUUUGGUUCAUUAGCCUCCCAAGACUACUUUGGUAUGAAAGUAAAGCCUUCACUUACUGCCAGUGUAAUUUUGGCUAUUUUUUUAAUUUCAUUAGACAUAUACGUUUCUGGAGUGAUCUUCAUAACAUACGCAGUCAAAUUUGUUUUUCUCAUAAGUUGGAUCAUCGCAUAACUUAUUGGUGGUUGCACUAGCUGAGCUUUAUUAUAAGUUCUGGUGCACAUUGUAUAUCAUGGAUAAAGUGUAUGUAAUCUUCUUGGUGAGUAGGUUUUAGAAUGAUAUAAAAUUUAAA